AAGUCGUAACAAGGUUUCCGUAGGUGAACCUGCGGAAGGAUCAUUAUCCAUCUCAACUGAGCCGGCGCGGCCCCUUCUUGGUGGUACCGCGAAAGCGUUCACGCGCCGUCACUCUCACCCUUUUUUUACGAGUACCUUCGUUCUCCUUCGGUGGGGCAACCUGCCGCUGGAACUAUCAAAACCUUUUUUGCAUCUAGCAUUACCUGUUCUGAUACAAACAAUCGUUACAACUUUCAACAAUGGAUCUCUUGGCUCUG
RNAcentral lists this unclassified non-coding RNA (257 nucleotides) under Paraphaeosphaeria verruculosa. RNAcentral's name for it is "partial internal transcribed spacer region". The stretch from base 1 to 46 matches the Rfam family "Eukaryotic small subunit ribosomal RNA", at positions 1786 to 1831 of the family's 1831-position model. Lineage: Eukaryota; Fungi; Ascomycota; Dothideomycetes; Pleosporales; Didymosphaeriaceae. The record is from RNAcentral.